RNAcentral lists this ribosomal RNA (1126 nucleotides) under bacterium (Candidatus Ratteibacteria) CG15_BIG_FIL_POST_REV_8_21_14_020_41_12. RNAcentral describes it as "partial 23S ribosomal RNA". It matches the Rfam family "Bacterial large subunit ribosomal RNA", at positions 2568 to 2925 of the family's 2925-position model. Lineage: Bacteria; Candidatus Ratteibacteria. The record is from RNAcentral.
AGGGUUGGUCUGUUCGCCCAUUAAAGCGGUACGUGAGCUGGGUUUAGAACGUCGUAAGACAGUAAGUGACCGUUGCUGUCUAUAAAUUUGGCUAUAUGCUGGGAAAUCCGAGAAUCACCUCCUACUUGACAAAAGAUGUUGAUAGAGAUAAAAUAUCUCUAUGGCAAGUAAAAACGGAGGGUGUGCGGAUAAUCAGCAGGCAAGCAGGAAAAAAAUAUCAGAUGAAUAUUUUACUGGCUUCGUUGAUGGAGAAGGCUGUUUCUAUGUAGGUUUCAGCCGAAGAAAAGAUUUACCUUUAGGUUGGCAGGUUAUUACAGAGUUCCAUCUCAGUCAGAACCCACAGGGAAAACUAAUUUUAGAACAAUUUCAAAGAAGAUUAGGAUGUGGUUACAUUAAACCUAAUCACCCUAAAAGCAAAAGAGAUAAAACCUGGGUUUUGAUUGUGAAAGACAGAAAAGACCUAAAGGAAAGGUUGAUACCUUUCUUUCAGAAACAUCCUCUUCAUUCAGGGAAAAGAAAAGAUUUUAUGCUCUUUGUUAAAGUACUUCAGUUGAUUGAAAAAGGAAGUCACCUUAAACCUGAAGGUUUUAGGAAGAUAGCCAAUUUGGUCUUCCAAUUACCACGAAGUCGGAAACGUUAUUUGAAAGAAGAGAUAUUUUUCUCCUGUGGCCUCAGAGACUAUACGCCAAAUACCUCGAAAAGGUAAAGAUAUAGUCCGAUCUCACGGGCGACUGUGAGAGUUUCGCAGAAAUGCGAAGUCACCUCUUCUUGAAUCUAGAAGGGGUUAUAAGUCUCUGAUAGGAGAUGAAGUAACAGAAUGUCGGUCUCUAUCUGCUGUGGGCGUUGGAUAUUUGAAGGGGAGCUAUCCCUAGUACGAGAGGAUUGGGAUGGACGAACCUCUGGUGUUCCAGCUGUUCCGCCAGGAGCAAUCGCUGGGUAGCUAUGUUCGGAAAGGAUAAGCGCUGAAAGCAUCUAAGCGCGAAGCCUCCCCCAAGAUAAGAUAUCCCUCUGCCGCAAGGUGGACUAAAGAUUCCAGGAAGACGACCUGGUUGAUAGGCCAGAUGUGUAAGUCCAGUAAUGGAUUCAGCUAACUGGUACUAAUCAAUCGUGUGGCUUGACCAUAGAU